UAGCUUUGUCUUAAGUCAAACUUCUUUAAGUUUGAACAACUAUAUGGAAAAAUAUGCUGACAUUUACAAAAUCAUAUAUAUAUAGUACGAAAAUAGUUCAUGGCUAAUCUAAUGAAAUUAUUUUGGUGUUGUAAGUGUUAAUGUAGUUUUCUAUAAACUUGAUCUAACUUAAAAAAUGUUGACUUAGGACAAACUAGA
Non-coding RNA from Triticum aestivum (bread wheat), 198 nucleotides. The record is from Rfam. Lineage: Eukaryota; Viridiplantae; Streptophyta; Magnoliopsida; Poales; Poaceae.